Molecule: ribosomal RNA, 258 nt
Filed under: uncultured bacterium
Lineage: Bacteria
Description: partial 16S ribosomal RNA
Rfam family: Bacterial small subunit ribosomal RNA
Source: RNAcentral
GUCCGCACUGUAAACGAUGAUUACUCGCUGCUGGAGGGCAACUUUCAGUGGCUUAGCGAAAGCGAUAAGUAAUCCACCUGGGGAGUACGCCGGCAACGGUGAAACUCAAAGGAAUUGACGGGGGCCCGCACAAGCGGAGGAGCAUGUGGUUUAAUUCGAUGAUACGCGAGGAACCUUACCAGGGCUUGAAAGUUAAGGAAUGAUUAUGAAAGUAGUCAGUCAGCAAUGACCUAAAACUAGGUGCUGCAUGGCUGUCGU